AGGCAGCAGUGGGGAAUAUUGCACAAUGGGCGCAAGCCUGAUGCAGCCAUACCGCGUGUAUGAAGAAGGCCUUCGGGUUGUAAAGUACUUUCAGCAGUGAGGAAGGUGGGUAUGUUAAUAGCAUAUUCAUUUGACGUUAGCUGCAGAAGAAGCACCGGCUAACUCCGUGCCAGCAGCCGCGGUAAUACGGAGGGUGCGAGCGUUAAUCGGAAUUACUGGGCGUAAAGCGCAUGCAGGUGGUUUGUUAAGUCAGAUGUGAAAGCCCGGGGCUCAACCUCGGAAUUGCAUUUGAAACUGGCAAACUAGAGUACUGUAGAGGGGGUAGGAAUUUCAGGUGUAGCGGUGAAAUGCGUAGAGAUCUGAAGGAAUACCGGUGGCGAAGGCGGCCCCCUCGGACAGAUACUGACACUCAGAUGCGAAAGCGUGGGGAGCAAACAGGAUUAGAUACCCUGGUAG
This 456-nucleotide ribosomal RNA is filed under the name uncultured bacterium. RNAcentral describes it as "bacterial SSU rRNA". It matches the Rfam family "Bacterial small subunit ribosomal RNA", at positions 346 to 793 of the family's 1533-position model. The record is from RNAcentral.